Thunnus maccoyii (southern bluefin tuna) is the source of this 589-nucleotide long non-coding RNA. RefSeq lists it as uncharacterized. The transcript has 3 exons. The record is from RefSeq and is a predicted model, not a curated record. Lineage: Eukaryota; Metazoa; Chordata; Actinopteri; Scombriformes; Scombridae.
CUUGCUUGCUUGCUCUCUUUUCUAUAUGUUGAUACCAGUGGUGUAUGACGUGCAUUAAAACACUUGCAUCCAUUGUGUUUUCUGUGCAAACCCCCACGUGUCUGCUCGUCGCCGUCCUAUUUCACAGCAUCAACACACUUUAUCCAUUUAGAAAAGCAGUAAUUUCACCCUGGAUACUCUCCCGCCUACUGUACCUUCACUACUUCCUCCAUCUGUAUGAUGCAUCUGAUGUGUUACAGGCUUCAACUGUGAGAUGAUGCAACACUCUUCGCCACAAGUGUGUGAUGAAGUUGACACAUCGAGGUUUCAGCAGCAUACACAAGACUUUUUAAGAUCCUUUAUAGAAUCCAAUUUAAUACCUUUUUCACAUCUUACCAGUCAAAGAACACCGGAAAACCAGCAGGGACAAUAAGGUCUACAAUGUUUUCUUCAGAACGUGAUGUUUGAAGCAGGAUGGACCACAGAGACGCUGUGCAGUUGCUACAUUUCAAUAAAAGAACCGAGUGGCAUCAGGAAUGCCUCCUGGAGUACCUGUGUGCCAUCUGGGCCGAUCUGGUCCAGAGCUCCGGCGGUGCUGUACAGGAAACGA